Molecule: ribosomal RNA, 461 nt
Filed under: uncultured bacterium
Lineage: Bacteria
Description: partial 16S ribosomal RNA
Rfam family: Bacterial small subunit ribosomal RNA
Source: RNAcentral
GAUGAACGCUGGCGGCGUGCCUAAAACAUGCAAGUCGUGCGGCAGCGGGCCUUCGGGUGCCGGCGAGCGGCGGACGGGUGAGUAACGCGUAGGAACGUACCCCAAAGUGAGGGAUAAGCUCCGGAAACGGAGUCUAAUACCGCAUAUGCUAUUAGGAGUAAAGGAGUAAUCCGCUUUGGGAGCGGCCUGCGUCCGAUUAGUUUGUUGGUGAGGUAAUGGCUUACCAAGACGACGAUCGGUAGCUGGUUUGAGAGGAUGAUCAGCCACACUGGGACUGGGACACGCCCCAGACUCCUACGGGAGGCAGCAGUUAGGAAUUUUCCACAAUGGGGGCAACCCUGAUGGAGCAACGCCGCGUGCAGGAAGACGGCCUUCGGGUUGUAAACUGCUUUUAAAAGUGAAGAUUAUGACGGUAACUUUAGAAUAAGGAUCGGCUAACUCCGUGCCAGCCGCCGCAGUAA